This 32-nucleotide non-coding RNA is filed under the name Rattus norvegicus (Norway rat). The record is from RNAcentral. Lineage: Eukaryota; Metazoa; Chordata; Mammalia; Rodentia; Muridae.
UGCACACCUACGUAAAGUAUUUCAAAGGCUAC